AAUCAUGACAUUGUAGUAUCACUCUGUUUGAAGCAUUUAAGGACUUUUAUGAUUUUGUGCCGUCUUACCAGUGAGGGUUCAUGGAUUUGAUCUAGUCAUUUUAUUGACAAGAGCCCACGCGAGUGGUUUAGCAGUAUUAUCUGUAAAGGAAUCAUGACUUGGUUGGACAGUCUUAUCUACGUGGGCCUGUUGGAUGGUCUAGUGGCUGUACACAUGCACAAGGGCCCAACGCACAUACGUGCUUACUAGGGGAGAUAUCUUAUUACUGAUUACGGUUUAUCUCUUAUGAUGACUUCCAGAUAUUGUUAUAUAUCCAGUUAUUACUUUCAUGCAUUUAUUUUGAAGACUUGUUCUAAGGGGUAAGACAAGGAGCGAGUUGAUAAUUUUUCUGGGCGUUAUGCUCACCAAGUCCACUUACUGUUUCGUGUAAAUCCUUAUACUAGUAGCACUACUCGGUUACCAUAAUCUCGUUCGAGAUCAACUCAGUUCCAGCUGAGGUGAGCCAAUCGCUCAGUUCGUGGUGGCUACUACUGUGUUAUAUAUCUUCCUUAAAUUCAAUAUUUCGGUUGCGUGCCUUGUCUUUUGAAUUCACUUGCUCUUGUAGUUCCUCGACAAUGUAUUUUGGGAUUUCAUGCUAUCAGAUUCACUUGAACUGCGUUCUUUCUAAUUCCACUGUUUAA
Molecule: long non-coding RNA, 680 nt
Organism: Lycium barbarum (goji berry)
Lineage: Eukaryota; Viridiplantae; Streptophyta; Magnoliopsida; Solanales; Solanaceae
Exons: 2
Source: RefSeq, a predicted model, not a curated record